This 108-nucleotide non-coding RNA is filed under the name Yersinia intermedia ATCC 29909. RNAcentral's name for it is "STAXI RNA". It matches the Rfam family "STAXI RNA", at positions 1 to 109 of the family's 153-position model. Lineage: Bacteria; Pseudomonadati; Pseudomonadota; Gammaproteobacteria; Enterobacterales; Yersiniaceae. The record is from Rfam by way of RNAcentral.
CGUUGUCUUCGACAACACCCGAUGCUGCCAUGACCUGUAAGGUAGCACUGUACAGUGGUCAAACCCCAGUUGCCUGGACCUGAAAUGCAACACUUUUAGAGUGGUAAC